GGUGGCUCAGUGGUAGAGCACUUGCCUUGCAUGCAUGAGGGCCUGAGUUCAAUUCCUGAGCACCA
Molecule: transfer RNA, 65 nt
Filed under: Dipodomys ordii (Ord's kangaroo rat)
Lineage: Eukaryota; Metazoa; Chordata; Mammalia; Rodentia; Heteromyidae
Rfam family: tRNA
About the family: Transfer RNA (tRNA) molecules are approximately 80 nucleotides in length. Their secondary structure includes four short double-helical elements and three loops (D, anti-codon, and T loops). Further hydrogen bonds mediate the characteristic L-shaped molecular structure. tRNAs have two regions of fundamental functional importance: the anti-codon, which is responsible for specific mRNA codon recognition, and the 3' end, to which the tRNAs corresponding amino acid is attached (by aminoacyl-tRNA synthetases). tRNAs cope with the degeneracy of the genetic code in two manners: having more than one tRNA (with a specific anti-codon) for a particular amino acid; and 'wobble' base-pairing, i.e. permitting non-standard base-pairing at the 3rd anti-codon position.
Source: Rfam by way of RNAcentral